Long non-coding RNA from Bombyx mori (domestic silkworm), 9746 nucleotides. RefSeq lists it as uncharacterized. The transcript is spliced from 2 exons. Lineage: Eukaryota; Metazoa; Arthropoda; Insecta; Lepidoptera; Bombycidae. The record is from RefSeq and is a predicted model, not a curated record.
CAAAACAGGUGUGACUGUGUUGGUAUUAGUACCUACGGUAGAUACCUAUUAAUCGUCUUCACAAUAUUACAUCUGCCUUUAAAAUACUAUAGUGCAAUAGUAAUUUUAACUAGUAGAUAAGUACAUAAUAGUUUCUGAAUGGUCGUGAUGGUGAAUUUAUGUAAGAAGAUAUAUGUCCAGCUAUACCAGGGGAUAUGGAUAUGAGAUCCGACCUCUUCUAGCUGCAGCUAUAUCUACGUAUCCCUUUUUCUUCGUAACAAUAUGCUGCCACUACAUUCCAGUUAAGCCAUUAAUUCUGGCUUAAAAGCUUGAACGGUUGUUAACUAUUGAAUAAACCUUAACACGAGGUAAAUUGUAAGACAUGAAAACUAUGCAAUAAAAAAGCCAUUUGAUUAUUUUUAUGAAAAACAUUUGUAUGUAAUGUGAAAUAGCUCACCGGUGUUCAGUUGUCUAUUUGCAAUGGGCAUUUUUAAACGGUGAAUACAGUCCAAACUUACUUCAAUUAGAAUGUUAGUAUUUCAUGUUCACCUAGACCUUCAUGUUCUAUUUUUCACUUUAUUGUCAUUUUAAUAACAUAAUAUUCCUAAAGAAAAUAAUAAUGAUGAUUUCACUAGAUUGAAAAGCACUAACCAUUUUACCCAAUCUUUCUUGUAUCAAACUUGUAUUGUGUUAUGAGAAAUUAUUUAUUGAGUAUUAUACUAGUUAAUUUGUACUGUACUCAACAACAGAUCGAACUUUGUGUGUUUAUGACCUUUUUGGAAGCACAUUUUAAAUCUUUAUUGAUGUGUAAGCAUGGUUUGUUUGUCUACAUGAACUGUCAAUCAUCUGGUUAAGUAUUAUUAUUGAUUGGAGUUAUUUUGACUGUUCGGAUAAUUAUUUAAUAAAUAAAACUAUCAUCCUAGCUUUUCAUCAUUCUCUUAAAGAAAUAAUUGUUUGUUUGCUUUUACCGUUGGUCAUAGUAGAACAAACCAUGCUAAAUUAAAUAGUAACUGUGAUGGAGCAUUAAAAGACAACAAUGAUACUUCUGACCUGAUAUGACCCAAUACUUUUUAAGACAACAAAAGAUGUUGUUUUAAGAUGUAUGAGGUCUGAAAAUUCAUAGAUUAUUAAAAUUCAUCUCAUAAUAAUCUAAUAGAUUUAAGGCUUUAACUCCUAUAGUACUCGAAUCAUUACGUACCUAACUUAUGUUACUUCAUUGUACCAUUUACGUAGCUCAAUUUACUUUUGAGCUAUAAUUUUGUUCGGCAACCAGAAUUAAUACCAUAUUCUGCUGAUAUAUUGUCAUCAACUUAUCAUAAAAAAAGGAAUCAAAAUUCACGAUCAAACAAUACAUUACAUCUAAUACAAUUUAAAAACAAACCUAUUAAUUGCUUUUUUAGAAUCGCAUUUAAGUCUUAUUAUAACUAACGAUAUAAUUGGUUACGUUUGCGCAUUAACCAAAACGGUCAUUGGACUAGGAAUAUUUCACUCUUGCACUCAUAGACACUGUCACUUUGCUUUUCACUACUGUGUUCCCAUUGCUAUUGAAUAAAUGUUCACGUAAAACCGCCAUGUAACUGGCAGCUGUAAAUAAAAGAUGAAAUUACAAAUCAAUAAUACGAAAAGGAAUAAAUCGCGAUGCUUUUUUACAUUUUUUUCGCUCAUUGCUAUAGUUGAAACAUCUAUUAGUCAUCAGUCGUUAAAUAUUCGCUGUGCAUAAGGAUUGUUGCAUACCAAGAGCUAGAAGCUGUAUCAAAGGUUACCUAGCUAUCCAAGAGUUAAAAUUUUAUUGCGUCCACAUUUCUAAUUGAACAAAAUUAAAGUCAAUGCUGUGCAAGUUGUAGCAGUUUAACGGACGUGUAGCCACGGGAAGUUAUGAUUAAGAAAGUAUUAAGUAUUAAGAGACUAUGAUUAAGAAAGUAUGAAGUAUGUAGAAAGUUUCAAUAACCAUUAUAUUGGAGAAAUUAGUUAAUGCUUAUAAUUAUUCAUAAAGGGACAAUUGUAGCCUUUGUCUAAGUAGAUCUUAAUUUCACGCAUUUCAGUUAAGUUACUCAUUUCGUUGUCUGCACUAGAGAAAAGAAUAUUUUAGCUAUGCGAGCUUAAAAUAAUUUAGCUCAGCUCUUGGUUUGCAACCUAUAUUGGUCUGAAAAUGUAAAUGGAAGAGGAGCUUCACUGAAGUGUUACUGGAUGCGGACGCCCCGGUGCCGGUGGUCGGAGAAAAUUACAAAUCCAUGCCGGAGGAGUUUCAGACUAGAUUAAUCGUAAUCACAAACACCUAAUUUUAUCAAAAAAUCCUCUUUAAAAUAAUAGUAUAUCGCGGCGACCACUGCAUCAUCAUCUUCAAAUUUAUCUUAGACCACGAAUCGUACAUAUUUUUCCAUUUAAUAUUUUGCUUUUUUUAUUUAUUUUGUGUACAAGCAUACUUUCUCUCACUCUCGAAGCCACCUUCUUAAAUGGAAGCUAUCGCAACUCUGGGUCUUGUGCGUGGGGGCGUUAUUUUAGUAAAACAAAACAACUUUAGCGAAUUUUCCACGCCGUUGUUUGCGUAUUUCCUUACGAAACUUUAGUUGUCAUGCGUAGUUCUCGAAACAGUGGCACCCCACUUGGCUGUUACCACCCCUUGGCUGUCCCAGUAAAAACAGGCAAACAUGAUCUUUCGUUUCCGGCUCACAAUAGUGAAUCCAUGUUUCGUUAAUUAUUAUGAAACGCAAACAGCUUUGUGAAAUUCUGUCUCGUUUGUUUCUGCGCGUCAGAAAAUAUUAUGGGCGCUUACAAAUCUUCCUCUGCUAUAAAAUAAACAGUAACACAACGAUCUGCCCAGACUUUUUUAAUCAUUUGUUCAAUCAGUACCGAUGUCGGCGUCCCGUGCGGGGGUCGUUGUUAAUGGAAGUUCUUCCACGCUUGAGCCCAGCACACCAAAGCGCGUAGAAUGUGGAGAAGCAUGAACUCCCAAAUGUUGUUCUCAGGUCUUGAUAUACCAGCUCCAUAAUAAAAAAAAAUCAAGCAGAUAUUACCGGGCGAAUUUCAAUUUCAUUCAAUUUAAGGACAGGUUCGACGUGACGCAAACAAUCGACUUUUGUUUUGAAAAAACAAAGGAAUACAUUGUUUUUAUUUUUAUUAUUAUAGGUUGGGGAAAAAGUUUCUUCGCAUUUUUUAAGAAAAAUCACAUUUUUUAAUAUAGUUUAUUUACAUUUAUGUUAUUAAAGUAUGUAGGUAGGUACAAUUUUGUUCGAUAAGUUUUUGCAUCUUGUAGGUAGGGACACGAUCCCAUUGCUAUAGAAAUUUUAGGGCUUCUGAUCAAAAUACCGCGACAAUUGGUUUUGGCAGUCCUCUCGUGGUGUUAAUCUGACAACACUGCCUAAAUAAUUCUGAAGAGACCGAAACAGGUGGAAAUCUGAAGGUGCAAAGUCAGGACUAUACGGCGGAUGCAUUAAAACCUCCCAGCCAAGCUCUCUUAAUUUUUGCUGAGUGGCUAAAGAGUGUGUGAGGUUGAUUAAUUCGGGCCGAUUAAUUCUCUCAACUUCUGGCUUUAAUCUCAUCAGUUGUUCUCAGUAGAGUUCAGAAUCGAUGGUCCUGCCUGGUUGGUGGUAACAGCUCAUAAUGAAUAAUACUCUUCCAAUCCCACACACACAGCAUCAACUUGUUGCGAGUUAACCCGGGUUUCACCAGUCUGUGAAGCCUGACCAGCCUUUGACCACGACCUUUUUCGCACGUUCUUGUCGUACGUGAUCCACUUUUCAAAUGCGCCAAAACUGUUUUGUGGUCAAUUCCCAGUCCUUCAGCUACGUCGCAACUACUGACGUGCCGAUCUUGCUCCACUUUUUCAAAAAUGACAUCCAUUUUAUCCGUGAUACGGCGACCAGAGCGACUACAUCUUUGACAUCAAAAUUUCCAGCUUGAAAACGCUUAAACCAAAUUUGUGCUACUCUCACAGACACUGAACUAGGUCCAUAAACAUCGCAAAUUUUUUUCGCGGCUUGCGUUGCAUUUUUACCUUUUUUUUAGUAAUUUUUUAAAAUGUAUCGAAUUUCUUCAUUAGAUUCACUCAUCUUGACAGUGCGAAAAAUAAAUAAAAAACAUUUUCCUAAUUUGAAUUUGGAAUUAACUUCUUUAAAAUUUAAACUUUUAAUGAUACCAAAACCAGCCAGAUACAAAUAGUAUAGCUAAAGAGAUUUUGUUACAAGUUCAUGCAUACUUUAUUGCGAAAAGACUUUUUCCCCAACCUAUUAUCUAAUGGCUGCCAGUUUUUUUAUUUGUCCAAUGAAUAAUUUAUGGCAUUAUCAUCAUUUAUUGAACACCUCUCGUAAACUUAGUUGGACUUCCACACUGUCAGCCCGUCUUCCAUAAUCGAGGUUGCGUUAUGCAGUUACCCCCCGCCCAAAAAGCCGCAAAGGAUCUCUUCACUCUGCCGAAAACUGGCAAAAUUAGAAGCCCACUUUACUUUCCAAACAAUUUGAACCUGAAGAAUCUGGACGUUUGCUUCAAAAUGCGCCAUACCCUCAAAAACUACCAAUACAUUUAUAAUAUCCCCGGAGGACUCCGUAAUCUAGUAACUAACAAAAUGCGCUAUGCCAGAUCGUCGAGGAACUUUUCGACACGCGACUCUUUGGACAAGUGUAGAGGGACUUUGUUUGUGUAGGUAGAUUUUAGCUCACCUUCCGCUGAACAUGUCGGUUACUAAUCAGCUGGCGACAUUCAAGUUGCUCUUGGAGCCGAGUGUUACUCAGGUAAAAAGCUAUCACACCGAGAGUUGCUCCUCCUUCAGCCGAAUUUAUAGUUUGAAGCUUCUUGGCUUCUGACUUCAACAACGGCCUGUUCUUCACAUUACGGGUCAGAUUUUCAUUAGACCAUCCCUGCCAAUGAGUACUCGUCGAACUUUUGGAUGGGCAUAUGUAUAAUAUCUAUUCAUAUGCCUAAAUGUCAAUAUGUGUAUGCAUAUUCCCUUUAGACUUCGAAACGCCUGGAUCAAUAUCGAUGAUUUUUUUAGGAAAUGGCCUAGUGAGUGAAUUUGUAUUUGGUAGCGAUCGGAUCAUAGUUAGAUCUUUUGAUCGUCCAGCAAAGUGGGCUAGGUUAAUAAUGGAAUCGCUUGUUAGACUAAAGGUAAUAUUUUCAUUUGAUCCACCUUUGCUAUAUGAAACUUGAAUUACAGUUGAAAGCUACUUUCCGAUAUUCCCACUAGAACGCAAGAACCGGAGAAAAGUUUCUUAAUCACCGAAGAUCAGAAUGCUCACAAUCCGAGAAAUGGGUACUACACUUUAGUCACACAUCUAAAAAAAAAAUCCCAAUAAACUUGUGACAAAUGUCUUGUCGGAUCGUGUACUGUACUUGCCAAAACUUACCAUACACCGUCCGUUCAGAUAAUCCUGUUAAAUUUAACGCUUUGCAUAAUUAUUUACAGUAACGAGGAAGCUUUCGCAUUGCAUUUCGAUAACAGUGUGUAACAAAAACUUGAUCCAGAAUUAAAAAUAAUCGUCAAUGUAAUCAAUAUAAAUAAGAGAAAAACAAAAAAACAGGAUUAUAAGGGCUUGUAAAUAUUUAGUUAAAUAAGUAAUUACACCACAAUUCUACGUAAUCAUUAAAAAUGUGUAGACAUCAUUGAAAAUUUGAUUCAGGACAUUAAGAUGCAGAUAUCUUACUAAUCACUGUUUUUAAAGUUUCAAAUGGGCAAAUUCUAUUUUUUUGGUUUGAAUUUUUUUAAUAUUAACUUUCUUCUUAACAUUUUAUAUCAAUUAUAAUCUAAAAGUUACGUCACCAAGAAAAAAACAAAUUAGCUAUAUAAAUCAAAUGCGACUUUAUGAUUCUGAAUGUUAAGAUAAUGGCCAUAAUUUAAGAACACCUGAGUAUCCCUAAUAACCGCAGUCUGGGUUAUAGCGGCUUAUUAAUAUCAACUCUAAUGUUCGGGCUUUUCGAAUACUGUUUACAAUGCUUUUUGUUUUUAUGCAAAGUUUAAAUUACGUCGAUAGAUCACAGGUUUUUAUUACACGCUGUUUAAAGCACAGGGAAUCUGGGUUAAACCCAGGUUAAAUCAGAAAAAGUCCGUUAAAACAAAUAUGGAUUGCGUAAUGUAUGAUAUUUUUUAAUCGAAUUCAUGGGCGGAUUUUUUUUAUUACUUUAUGUUAUGGAUAAAUAUCAUCCUCAGAGUAAAUAUCGUUUAAUUUCAAAAAUAGAUGGAUAAAUUGCCAUAUCACAAUAUAUUUAUUAGAAUUAAAUUAGUCACAAAACAGGUACUAUUAAAUAAUGAGAUUAAGAUCGAGCCAAACAUUUAUCUUGAAUUAAUUUAGUCAAAUUUAUAUAACUCAAAAACAAUGACAGACUUUUCUUUUAAAAAUAAAUUAAGCAUUUCUCUUAAAUACAAAAAAAAAGUGAGAUGCUGUAAAUUUAAACAUUGAAGGAUAAACAAUAAUUGACAUAAAAAAAAUUAAAAACAUUUUUCCUUAUACUAAAUCAGUCAUGGAUUUUAUAUAUAGGAAAUAUUGAAAUGACAUUGUUGUGUAGUAUGCUAAAGCUUAGUUUAGUAACACAGCUAUUCAGUCUUAUCGUUUCAUGAAUAAUAAUUAAAUUCAAAAUAUGCAAUAUACUUAAAUAGUGUUUAACAAUAAAGGCAAAAAACUUGUCUAGUAUAUUUUGUACUAUCAUUUUCUUAAACUUUCAGUCUUAAGUGUUCUCAAAUACAAAACAUUAAAAGUAACUAUCAGACUUAUAGUAAUACUGUAUUUUCAUUAUUUCAGUCUUUAAUCUCUUCAUAAUCGUAAUCUAAUUUUUAUUAUUUAAAAUGUUUGAAAUGAGGUUCGGCUGUAGUCAAUGAAUAUUCCAAAACAUUUCAUUCUUGGGCCAUAAAAACCAAUCCAAGUUGAUAUGUGAACUUGAAUUGAUUUUGAUAAUAAAUGUGAGUGGCAUUUGCACUCAUAGACAUCCGACCACGAAUAAAUAAAACAGUUGCCCGACGAACGUUGAUCAUAAUUCAAUUUAAAUUCCUACGUAACGGUACAUGUGAUAAAAUAUCAAACUUAAAUAAAAAAAUCCAAAUUAAAUAACACUAAAUGAGUUGAGCUCAUCUGAUUAGAUCGACGGUAAGAUAUCCUAUACUUUAAUAUGAAAUUUAUGACUUUGCUAAAUUUGAUGAGAGUACAUUUUUUAUUGCUCUGAAUAUAGCUCGAAUUUAAAAUUAAUACAUAGUUUUAUAAAGACUAAAUUGUUAUAACUUCGUCGUUUGAAGAUAGUGAAUGUUAAAAAAAUAAAAUCGAAAUUAUCACUAUAAACUUAAUAGUUAGCAGACAACGAACAACAAGUUAAAAAAUCACCAAACAAAACUACAUAAUAUUUUUCAUUAAUUCUUUAAAUCAUUAUAUAUUCGAUAUUAUCGAUGGAUAUGGUGGAAAUUAACGAUGACUCCAUCGAUAGAUACCAACUACUUUUCGUAUUUAAUCCAAUAAUAACAGUAAAAUAUGACCCGUUGGUACCCCUUUCAACUUACAAAAAUAAUUCUUCGAUUGAUUUAACUAUAAACUUAGAACAUUGUAAAAUACCUUUUAAUUUGUACUUUAGGGUGUACAGGUCAAGAUGGAAGUGAUCCCUGUAUAUGUAUAUAUAAAAAUAUUCUAAAUUAUGAAAUAUUCUUUUUUUGGAUGUGCAAAACUCACUUAAUUCUAAAGUAGAUUUUUGGCGGCACGUUGUAGACAUUGAUAUACAAAUUGAUGUAAAUAUUGUUUUCUGUAACAGCUGUGGUCCUAAUCAGGUUUAGUAUUUUGCUUGAUUUCCAAUUCCUAUUAGUACUGAUUAAAAUAAUUUUACAGUAAAUUUAAGAGUAACAGAAUAAAUAUAUUUGUUACUAUACAUAAUUUGUUGGAAAUCAGUUUUUGUACAAGUAUAGGAAAUACACAUCGAGAUCAAUUUUGUGGUCCCUUUUUUAUUAUAUACUUUAUUUAUUUUUACAAUUACAAUUAUAAUUUAAGGAAGUAAUGAGUUAUUUCAUUUUUUGAUAAUGGUUGUGAUAAAGUCGAUUGUUUGUGUAAGUAUUAUUACGUGACACUCAACACUCAAUUAUUAGGACAAUCAAGGUAGAUUUCACUAUAACAUUUCACUUCUUCGCUUGCUUGAGGCGAUCCGUUAAGCGCCCUGUAAACGAUCAAAUUGUUUGUCAAAUUUUACGUGUUUGUCAAAUUAUUUGACAGUAUGCAGCUUUGUUUGAUGCGUUUGUCUAACAGUCUACGUGUUUGAUGGAAAUCUUAAUUGACGGCGUGCUUGACAAACAUGUUUGAACAUGUAUGGGAGAUCUCAGUCGUUGCUCGACACAGGCGAGGAGAAAACCGAAUCUACGGGCAAGUUAACAAACUUGUUUGAUCAUUUAUUUAUGCUAUUGUUUGAUGAGAACGUAAAGUUUGACAAACGAAUUUGACCGUUUACAGGGCGCUUUAGCCUCUUCGAUUCAUGUCGCUAUUCACUAGUUUCAUGUCGCGUGUGCCACGCUUUUAUAGUGGUGUCAACCAUAUCUACAUAAAGAUUUAGCAGAACAUUCAAGAGAUGUGUCAGUUAGUUGCAAUAUCCGUUUUUGCUAUUUAAUGAUAAGACAGGCAUUCCUAGUAUCGGCAUAACACCGUCGCCUCCUUAGGCAUCGAUAUUGGUAUACUGGCCUAACACCUUCAUUUAAUCUAUCAGACAAUAAUAAGAACAGUUCUUAUCAGUUCAGUAUCACAGUGAAUGGUGGGCUGUAAACUAAACAUUCCAAUUCUAGUUGCUGAAAUAAAGAUGCUGAUGUGGAUGUGCAGCGUUAUUCGAUCGAUCCAGGCUCGAUAAUUUAAAAUAAUAUGGUAGAUUUAGAAAUAAUGACAGUUUAAAUGACUAGAUCGGUCAACCCUCAGUCAUCGAAAAUGACUAUACCUACUCGAGUCAAUGAUAAUUCAUUUAGCACCACAAACAAUUGCUCUACUCAAAAUGUCAGACGCACACUGGCCACUGUGUUUAAAAACUCCACUAUACAGUACGUGCAGUAUUAAAAUAAAUUUAACAACACUGCAAAUGGAUUCGUGGGAUCUUAACACCGCAGUUUUGAUAGAAUUUGUCAUCAGGCAGUUUGCAGUGUUUUUUUUAUGCUAAGAAAUUUACAUGACAAGGGAAAUUUAAGACAACGAGUGUGGUAAAACUAUAUGAAAUAAAUUUUUUUUGUGUUAGGAGUAGACUUGCAUUGUGUACAUGAACAUUUAAAUCUUUUAAAUAUAGGUCUUAUUUUACUUUCCAUUACUAUUACGAAAUUACAUUUUUUUUCGGUUUUGCUCCGCACUAUGAAAGUUAUUAGUAGAGUGACAUGUAAAUGAUUAAUACACUCUUUACAAAAUAAUUACAGCCGUUUUAAUUCUACAUGGUCGUUGUUCUGUACGUCUGUUGUUCCUACGAAUUAAAUAAUUGAGACAAUUUUUCAAUUACUUCUCACUACUGGCUACCUAGCUCACUGAUCCUUAGCUACCAACUCCUAGCUUGAAUACUGGUGACAUUUUGCCUAUUUUUGCAGUGAACCCACCGUGCGUUUCGCUUUAAAUACUCUGUGACUGAAUUACAUAACAUUAUCCGGUUUACCUUGUACAAUUUGAUAGUUACAUGAGAAGUAUCUAUUGAAGAAAUAAUGCUCUUGUAUUGGACAAUGCUUGUAAUGCAGUGGACGAUUAUCGUGUUAAUUUUUUCAUUUUUUAUUUUUUGUUAAUUACUUCAGUUAUCAGUUUUUUUAUUACUCUAUACUUGGUCAUUUUGUCAUAACUUGCCGAUUUUAAGAAAUA